RNAcentral lists this ribosomal RNA (249 nucleotides) under Clostridioides difficile. Its description in RNAcentral is "partial 23S ribosomal RNA". It matches the Rfam family "Bacterial large subunit ribosomal RNA", at positions 231 to 481 of the family's 2925-position model. The record is from RNAcentral. Lineage: Bacteria; Bacillati; Bacillota; Clostridia; Peptostreptococcales; Peptostreptococcaceae.
UCGAUUCCGUAAGUAGCGGCGAGCGAACGCGGAUUAGCCCAAACCAAUAAAGUUUUCUUUAUUGGGGUUGCGGACAUAUCAUAACGAAGAGGUAUCGUAAUUGAAGAGGUUUGGAAAGACCCACCACAGAAGGUAAUAGUCCUGUAUGUUAAACGAGAAGACUUUAGAUAUGAUCCAGAGUACCACGGGACACGUGAAACCCUGUGGGAAGCAGGAGGGACCACCCUCCAAGGCUAAAUACUACCUAGU